RNAcentral lists this ribosomal RNA (496 nucleotides) under uncultured bacterium. RNAcentral's name for it is "partial 16S ribosomal RNA". It matches the Rfam family "Bacterial small subunit ribosomal RNA", at positions 30 to 523 of the family's 1533-position model. The record is from RNAcentral.
AUUGAACGCUGGCGGAAUGCUUUACACAUGCAAGUCGAACGGUAGAGGGGGCAACCCCUCGAGAGUGGCGAACGGGUGAGUAAUAUAUCGGAACGUGCCCAGUCGUGGGGGAUAACGUAGCGAAAGUUACGCUAAUACCGCAUACGAUCUAAGGAUGAAAGCGGGGGAUCGCAAGACCUCGCGCGAUUGGAGCGGCCGAUAUCAGGUUAGGUAGUUGGUGGGGUAAAGGCUCACCAAGCCAACGAUCUGUAGCUGGUCUGAGAGGACGACCAGCCACACUGGAACUGAGACACGGUCCAGGCUCCUACGGGAGGCAGCAGUGGGGAAUUUUGGACAAUGGACGCAAGUCUGAUCCAGCCAUUCCGCGUGCAGGAUGAAGGCCCUCGGGUUGUAAACUGCUUUUGUACGGAACGAAAAGGUCUCUCUUAAUACGGGGGGCUCAUGACGGUACCGUAAGAAUAAGCACCGGCUAACUACGUGCCAGCCGCCGCGGUAA